GGGCUUAUGGUCUAGGGGUAUGAUUUUCGCUUCGCAUCUUUGUUCUGUUCAGUCAGACAAGCGACUGUGAAAGGUCCGGGGUUCAAAUCCCCGUGAGUCCA
Fusarium torreyae is the source of this 101-nucleotide non-coding RNA. The record is from the annotation of a GenBank genome assembly. Lineage: Eukaryota; Fungi; Ascomycota; Sordariomycetes; Hypocreales; Nectriaceae.